This 496-nucleotide ribosomal RNA is filed under the name uncultured Glomeromycotina. Its description in RNAcentral is "partial small subunit ribosomal RNA". It matches the Rfam family "Eukaryotic small subunit ribosomal RNA", at positions 591 to 1092 of the family's 1831-position model. Lineage: Eukaryota; Fungi; Glomeromycota. The record is from RNAcentral.
CCAAUAGCGUAUAUUAAAGUUGUUGCAGUUAAAAAGCUCGUAGUUGAAUUUUGGGUUUGGCCGAUUGGUCCGUUCUUGUAACGAGUACUGGUCGGUUGGGCCUCACCGCUUGGUGAUGCGUAAUGUCCUUUAUUGGGUGUUGCGAGUAGCCAAGACCUUUACCUUGAAAAAAUUAGAGUGUUUAAAGCAGGCAUAUGCCGGAAUACAUUAGCAUGGAAUAAUAGAAUAGGACAACGAUUCUAUUUUGUUGGUUUCUAGGACCGUUGUAAUGAUUAAUAGGGAUAGUUGGGGGCAUUAGUAUUCAAUUGUCAGAGGUGAAAUUCUUGGAUUUAUUGAAGACUAACUACUGCGAAAGCAUUUGCCAAGGAUGUGUUCAUUAAUCAAGAACGAAAGUUAGGGGAUCGAAGACGAUCAGAUACCGUCGUAGUCUUAACCAUAAACUAUGCCGACUAGGGAUCGGGCGAUGUUGUUUCAAUGACUCGCUCGGCACCUUAUG